GAUGAACGCUGACAGAAUGCUUAACACAUGCAAGUCAACUUGAACUUCGGUUUGGGUGGCGGACGGGUGAGUAACGCGUAAAGAACUUGCCUCACAGAUAGGGACAACAUUUGGAAACGAAUGCUAAUACCUGAUAUUAUGAUUAUAUGGCAUCGUAUAAUUAUGAAAGCUAUAUGCGCUGUGAGAGAGCUUUGCGUCCCAUUAGCUAGUUGGAGAGGUAACGGCUCACCAAGGCGAUGAUGGGUAGCCGGCCUGAGAGGGUGAUCGGCCACAAGGGGACUGAGACACGGCCCUUACUCCUACGGGAGGCAGCAGUGGGGAAUAUUGGACAAUGGACCAAGAGUCUGAUCCAGCAAUUCUGUGUGCACGAUGAAGUUUUUCGGAAUGUAAAGUGCUUUCAGUUGGGAAGAAAAAAAGGACGGUACCAACAGAAGAAGUGACGGCUAAAUACGU
This 453-nucleotide ribosomal RNA is filed under the name uncultured bacterium. Its description in RNAcentral is "partial 16S ribosomal RNA". It matches the Rfam family "Bacterial small subunit ribosomal RNA", at positions 28 to 506 of the family's 1533-position model. The record is from RNAcentral.